Molecule: long non-coding RNA, 238 nt
Organism: Salvia miltiorrhiza (redroot sage)
Lineage: Eukaryota; Viridiplantae; Streptophyta; Magnoliopsida; Lamiales; Lamiaceae
Exons: 2
Source: RefSeq, a predicted model, not a curated record
GCUUUGUGAUGACCAGGAGGAUUAGCGCUACUUUUCCAAGACAGGUUUAUAUGUGUAUGAUCUUCAGGCUUUGCCUAUCCAGGUUGGCUGGCCGGUGCUGACGGGAUGGAGCUGAGGCUAGAGAUAAAUUCCUAUGUUAGACUUCCGCUGUAGCAAUUACUCAUAUCAGUCUUUUGUUUUCCCAACUUAAGAUCUUCAUGUUAAAUUUCAAAUGAUAUAUCUGACCGAGCUUAGACUC